Molecule: ribosomal RNA, 605 nt
Filed under: uncultured fungus
Lineage: Eukaryota; Fungi
Description: eukaryotic LSU rRNA
Rfam family: Eukaryotic large subunit ribosomal RNA
Source: RNAcentral
AGCAUAUCAAUAAGCGGAGGAAAAGAAACUAACAAGGAUUCCCCUAGUAACUGCGAGUGAAGCGGGAAAAGCUCAAAUUUGAAAUCUGGUAGUCUUAGGCUGCCCGAGUUGUAAACUAGAGAAGCGUUAUCCGCGCUGGACCGNGUAUAAGUCUUCUGGAAUGAAGCGUCAUAGAGGGUGAGAAUCCCGUCUUUAACACGGACUACCAGGGCUUUGUGAUGCGCUCUCGAAGAGUCGAGUUGUUUGGGAAUGCAGCUCUAAAUGGGUGGUAAAUUCCAUCUAAAGCUAAAUAUUGGCGAGAGACCGAUAGCGAACAAGUACCGUGAGGGAAAGAUGAAAAGAACUUUGGAAAGAGAGUUAAAUAGUACGUGAAAUUGUUGAAAGGGAAACGCUUGAAGUCAGUCGCGUUAGUUAGGAAUCAGCCUUGCUUCUGCUUGGUGUACUUCCUGGCUGACGGGUCAGCAUCAAUUUUGACCGGUGGAAAAAGGCCAGUUGAAUGUGGCAUCUACGGAUGUGUUAUAGCUUCUGGUCGUAUACAUCGGUUGGGAUUGAGGAACUCAGCACGCCGCAAGGUCGGGGUUCGCCCACGUUCGUGCUUAGGAUGC